AUAAACAUUUUCGACACUGUGGUCAUGAAAUGACACUCUGAUACCCGGAGCUAGAUUAUGUAGGGUGAGCAAGGUUUGAGGAUAGCAACAAAACCUAGUAGAGAAGAAAGAAAGUUUGAAAUGAUGUAUCCAGAAGAUUAUCUGCAGGAAAUUCUAGAUCUUAAAAUGUGUAUAUGAAAGACUCUUGAUAGAGGUUUUCCCAAAUUCCACAAAAAUCCCAAGAAGGUACAUGGUAUCACCAAUAACAAGUAAUAACAACAAUAUACACUUUAAAAAAUUAUCCAUAAUUAAAAAUAAUUAAAUUGACCAUAUUACAGAAAAGAUUGACUUUUUAUUCUCUCAGAAAAAUAACUACAUGAAUCAUUGCUACAUAAAGAGGUGGUCAGAGACCAUGAGGCCACAGAUGUAGGAAAAACAAAGACUGUAAAUAUGUACUUUUUCUGAGAUUUGUGAUACUUGUAGUAUUUAUCAGCUUUUAAAAUUUAUAGUGUAUUGUAACUACUUUAUAUGAUUAGGUAUUUUUGUAUUCACAAUUUUACUUUCUUUUUCUAUAAGAAGGGCUCCCAAAAUUGCAUAAGCUUCAGGCACCACACAACCUGGACAUCCCUGGCAAAGAAAAAGAAAA
This 625-nucleotide long non-coding RNA is filed under the name Pan troglodytes (chimpanzee). RNAcentral's name for it is "long non-coding RNA NONPTRT015481". The record is from RNAcentral. Lineage: Eukaryota; Metazoa; Chordata; Mammalia; Primates; Hominidae.